GGCGCCUCUCUGCCUUGUUUCUGUCUCGAUCCAGUAAUCAAGACAGAGCGAGAGCGGCUUGGAAGCUCCGCAGAAACAUCUGCAGAAAGUUAGACCUCCAUAGCUAGCAUCUCCAUUUCCCCUACUCCUCAGUCAGGUCCUUUGGAGGAUGUCUGGGCUGGAGCUGGUGACCUUGGCUUCCUGAGCUGUCUUAUCAUCCUGUGCUAAGGGCUGUGGUGCCCAAUUCCUGUCUGAGCAGUCAAGCUAAAGACCCUGCGAAUGAAUAGACUGAUGUGGAACCUGUCCAAGGUGAAAACCGCCUCUGCAUUGCCAACUCAUUACAGGGCACCCCAAGCAUGAAGAGGACUCGUUCCCCCUAAUGCUCCCCCAGAGGGCUUGUGGGAGUAGGCUGCUUGUCACGAAGCCCUUGAAAAGAACUGAGUCUCCUCUCUUUCAGGGUGAGCGAAGCCCAGAAACAUCCUGCCUGCAUCGACUGUCUCCUCCCCAAGCACCACGAAAAAUGCCAGUUGGGUACUCUCAGUAGCCUAGACCAAGCUAAAUAUUUCUCAAAAGGGUGUUGGUGUCACCUGAAGGACCAGGCUAGAAAGGAAAGCUGUAUUAAGCCUGAAAAACACAACUCUCAAAAACUCUCAAAGUCCCUGAACCAACGAUGGAAGGUCAAUAGUCUUCAUUCUCUAGGUGGUGAAACCUACGUACAGAUCAGUCAGGGUAUCUGCUGGAUGGAACCAAGCUUGAAAGUGGUGGGUGCUGAUUGGAACCAAUACUUCAUCUGCAAGGCUUGGGCUCUAAGCCAAGGCUUCAAUGAAGAGAUCAGCAGAUGAAUUCUCCCCUCAAAGGUGUGACAGCGUCACCAGGAAGUGGUGAAUUUUCACAGAGUGGGACUUGGUUAGAGGAGAAGAAAGUCCCAAUGGGUCAAAAAUGGAGGUUGUUGAAGUUUUUUUGUUUGUUUGUUUGUUUGUUUUUUGCUGCAGAUACAAUUAUUCGCUUGAUGAAGGAAGAUGAGUAAUAGGGCUCUCAGCCUGAGGUCUAGGUUACUUCUUAUUUCCUCCCACCUGGAUUAACUUCAGGAAGGUGCAACUUAUGUAGCUGCAGGGCCCUAGGCUCAGAAGGGCUCCAUGCUUGGUUUAAGAUUCUACUGUUAUUGCUUGAAAUUCUUGAAAAUUAUGUCUUUGAACCUGUGUUUUGUAAGUGAAGUCUUAUGGGAUAA
This is a non-coding RNA of Macaca mulatta (Rhesus monkey), 1207 nucleotides long. The record is from RefSeq and is a predicted model, not a curated record. Lineage: Eukaryota; Metazoa; Chordata; Mammalia; Primates; Cercopithecidae.